Molecule: ribosomal RNA, 251 nt
Filed under: uncultured bacterium
Lineage: Bacteria
Description: partial 16S ribosomal RNA
Rfam family: Bacterial small subunit ribosomal RNA
Source: RNAcentral
AACGUAGGAGACAAACGUUAUCCGGAGUUACUGGGCGUAAAGGGCGUGUAGGUGGUUUCGUAAGUCUGGCGUGAAAUUUUUCGGCUUAACCGGGAAAGGUCGUCGGAUACUGCGGAGCUAGAGGACGGUAGAGGCGUGUGGAAUUCCGGGUGUAGCGGUGGAAUGCGUAGAGAUCCGGAAGAACACCGGUGGCGAAGGCGGCCUGCUGGGCAGUUGCUGCACUGAGGCGCGCAGCGUGGGGAGCAAACAGG